UGAACACAUCCUUUUGACCCACAUUAUGUUACUGGUGGAAAUGCCUACUGAUUACUAGAAUCAAAUUUAAGACUUUCUACCAGCAUUUGGCUAUUUUUACCCUUAAAGUUGAUUGAGGAUUUCUUAAUUUGUUUUGUGUGUUUUAUUUUUUUCUUCUGUUUUCAAUAUUUCACAGUCUCCAGAGAGAAGCCAGAGCUACCAUUACAAGUGUGGGUACACCCUCUUGUCUGGGGAAGAAGGGGAAGGAAGGCUGUUUCGCCUUUUCCUGCUGUGAUGAAAACAGGGAGAGAUCUGCCAAAUCAGUACUGUAAAUCUCCAAGAGACCCUUCUCAAGAACAUUGCCAGCUGGGAUUGGAUAGGUGGGAUUAUGACAAUUUUGCAACAGCUCUGUUUCUGAUGAAGAAAAGUUCUCCCCUUUUGGUGGCCUGUAAGCACUACCUGAUCCUCUCACCUGAUGUUCAGCUUGUGCAUUUGUAACUGCUUUUCAGUGGUCAUAAAUCCUUUAUUAGAUAGUCAUUUAUAUACAGCUUAUAAAAAUAAGUAACAAAUGAAAUCAAAUAAAUGAAAAAAAGACACA
RNAcentral lists this long non-coding RNA (577 nucleotides) under Parus major (Great Tit). RNAcentral describes it as "lncRNA (ENSPMJG00000002639.1)". Lineage: Eukaryota; Metazoa; Chordata; Aves; Passeriformes; Paridae. The record is from RNAcentral.